GGUUGUAGCUCAGUGGUAAGAGCGCUUGGCUAAUACACGUGAGUCACUGGGUUCGAUCCUCAGAACCA
This 68-nucleotide transfer RNA is filed under the name Marmota monax (woodchuck). RNAcentral describes it as "tRNA.Ile". Lineage: Eukaryota; Metazoa; Chordata; Mammalia; Rodentia; Sciuridae. The record is from RNAcentral.